This 239-nucleotide non-coding RNA is filed under the name Sharpea azabuensis. RNAcentral describes it as "T-box sequence". It matches the Rfam family "T-box leader". From Rfam's summary of the family: Uncharged tRNA acts as the effector for transcription antitermination of genes in the T-box leader family. T-boxes are found upstream of many aminoacyl-tRNA synthetase genes and some amino acid biosynthetic genes usually in Gram-positive bacteria. Lineage: Bacteria; Bacillati; Bacillota; Erysipelotrichia; Erysipelotrichales; Coprobacillaceae. The record is from RNAcentral.
ACAAAGACGUUGAAAGGAAAUAGUAAGAGUGGUAAUAAGCUGAGAGAGACCUUGGUUGGUGAAAAAGGUACUUAUGACAUUCUGAACUCAUCCUAGAGUGGAGCGCUGAAAUCAUAGUAAGUAGCUACGGAUCCCGCACCCGUUAUCGUGCUAGAGUAUGUUAGUACUCGAAAAGGUUGGCAUCGUGAGGUGUCAAUAAAUUGAGGUGGAACCACGAAGUUUAGACUCUCGUCCUCUUG